RNAcentral lists this ribosomal RNA (253 nucleotides) under uncultured bacterium. RNAcentral's name for it is "partial 16S ribosomal RNA". It matches the Rfam family "Bacterial small subunit ribosomal RNA", at positions 524 to 776 of the family's 1533-position model. The record is from RNAcentral.
GACGUAGGGGGCCAGCGUUGUUCGGAAUUACUGGGUGUAAAGGGUUCGUAGGCGGUGUGGCAAGUCGGGAGUGAAAUUUCUGGGCUCAACUCAGAGACUGCUUCCGAAACUGCUGUGCUGGAGUGUGGGAGAGGCGCGUGGAAUUGCAGGUGUAGCGGUGAAAUGCGUAGAUAUCUGCAGGAACACCCGUGGCGAAAGCGGCGCGCUGGACUACUACUGACGCUGAGGAACGAAAGCUAGGGGAGCAAACAGG